RNAcentral lists this ribosomal RNA (460 nucleotides) under uncultured bacterium. RNAcentral's name for it is "partial 16S ribosomal RNA". It matches the Rfam family "Bacterial small subunit ribosomal RNA", at positions 338 to 795 of the family's 1533-position model. The record is from RNAcentral.
CCUACGGGAGGCUGUAGUGAGGAAUAUUGGUCAAUGGGCGCGAGCCUGAACCAGCCAAGUAGCGUGAAGGAUGACUGCCCUACGGGUUGUAAACUUCUUUUAUAAAGGAAUAAAGUGAGGCACGUGUGCCUUUUUGUAUGUACUUUAUGAAUAAGGAUCGGCUAACUCCGUGCCAGCAGCCGCGGUAAUACGGAGGAUCCGAGCGUUAUCCGGAUGUAUUGGGUUUAAAGGGAGCGUAGAUGGGUUGUUAAGUCAGUUGUGAAAGUUGGCGGCUCAACCGGAAAAUUGCAAUUGAUACUGGCAGUCUUGAGUACAGUUGAGGUAAGCGGAAUUCGUGGUGUAGCGGUGAAAUGCUUAGAUAUCACGAAGAACUCCGAUUGCGAAGGCAGCUUACUAAACAGCCACUGACAUUGAUGCUCGAAAGUGUGGGUAUCAAAAAGGAUUAGAUACCCUGGUAGUC